UGUGGUGUAGCUCAGCGGAAGCAGCCCCGGCUUUGGCACAGGGUACGGGAGGUCGCCGGUUCGAAUCCGGUCAUCACGA
This 79-nucleotide transfer RNA is filed under the name Pantoea sp. B_2. RNAcentral describes it as "tRNA-Ala". It matches the Rfam family "tRNA". Rfam says of the family: Transfer RNA (tRNA) molecules are approximately 80 nucleotides in length. Their secondary structure includes four short double-helical elements and three loops (D, anti-codon, and T loops). RNAcentral also lists the same sequence under 29 other names. The record is from RNAcentral. Lineage: Bacteria; Pseudomonadati; Pseudomonadota; Gammaproteobacteria; Enterobacterales; Erwiniaceae.